This is a long non-coding RNA of Oncorhynchus nerka (sockeye salmon), 840 nucleotides long. RefSeq lists it as uncharacterized. NCBI's taxonomy places the organism in Eukaryota, Metazoa, Chordata, Actinopteri, Salmoniformes, Salmonidae. The record is from RefSeq and is a predicted model, not a curated record. The transcript is spliced from 3 exons.
GUCGCUAAGCGGUAUAAUUCAAAGCAGUCUCACUUUAUCAGCAGCACGUGAUCAAUGACGUCUGAAGAAUAAUUUCGUCGAACACCUGAUUGGUUUGGUAUUGAUUAAUUUGGGCUCGUUCGACAUUGCAGCCGACAGUGCAGGUGGCUGCUGACUGCUGACUGACUAAUUUACAAAUCACCUUGCAUCAUAAAUAACUACUCAUUAUUAUUUAUAAAUCAGUCAGCCAGUCACCGUUUACCCACAAUGCAGCAUAGACUUGAUGCUCUCGAUCAAGGCCCGUGGUUUCGUAGCAGACCUGAAGGCUACGCUGCUACGCCUUCCUCUCCUCUGAAGACCCAGUGAGGGUGGAGCUCAGUCAGAGAGCUGUUGAGGGACUGGUUAGGAAGAACACUUCUACAGCCAGAGAGGGGCAGUCAAGAAAUGGAACAGCAAGGCCACAGAACAUGACAUAAGCAGAGCUGUGGGAGACCACCUCAAGCCCCUGGUAGAGCAGGGGGUGGUGUUUACCACUCCACCACACCUUCAGCAGGCAGGAAAAUUAACCCUGAUAUUUUAAAAGCAGGGCAACAACGUCAAUAUAAUUGUACCCAAAAAUUGUCAGUUGGUUGCAUAAAUAAUUAUGAUUACUAAAUGUUACAUGAAAUGUAAAUAUUAAAUAUUCGGUUACAGUCUCAUUUUCAACGUCUUUUCAAUGACAUUUUGCUAGGUGUGAUAUCCCCAAUGUCAAAACACAGUUUUAAUGUCUCCAAAUCAAUAACCAAUAUGCAGAAACAGUUGGGGAUAAAUUGAAUACCUAAAACUAACAUGUUCUAUAUACACAAACAUCUGCCACAAUAA